RNAcentral lists this ribosomal RNA (420 nucleotides) under Fusobacteriota bacterium. RNAcentral's name for it is "Fusobacteria bacterium partial 16S ribosomal RNA". It matches the Rfam family "Bacterial small subunit ribosomal RNA", at positions 355 to 776 of the family's 1533-position model. Lineage: Bacteria; Fusobacteriati; Fusobacteriota. The record is from RNAcentral.
UGGGGGAUAUUGCACAAUGGGCGAAAGCCUGAUGCAGCGACGCCGCGUGGGGGAUGAAGGCCUUCGGGUUGUAAACUUCUUUUGCUCUGAACAAGGCAUGCCUUUGGGGUGUGUUGAGUGUAGGGGUUGAUUAGCGCCGGCUAACUACGUGCCAGCAGCCGCGGUAAUACGUAGGGCGCGAGCGUUGUCCGGCAUUAUUGGGCGUAAAGGGCUUGUAGGUGGCUGGUUGCGUCUGGCGUGAAAGCUCAUGGCUUAACUGUGGGUUUGCGGUGGGUACGGGCUGGCUUGGGUGCAGGAGGAGAGGCUGGUAUUCCUGGUGUAGCGGUGGAAUGCGCAGAUAUCAGGAGGAAUACCGGUGGCGAAGGCGGGUCUCUGGGCUGUUACUGACGCUGAGGAGCGAAAGCGUGGGGAGCGAACAGG